UCACGCCGAAAGUCUAAGGUUUCCUGAAGUCAAGUUAAUCUGCUCAGGGUUAGUCGGCCCCUAAGGCGAGGCUGAAAAGCGUAGUCGAUGGGAAACGGGUUAAUAUUCCCGUACCACUGGUGUGGAAAUUGGAUAAGGGGGGACGGAGAAGGAUAGGCCAUCCGGGCGUUGGUAGUCCCGGUUCAAGCGUGUAGGCGGAGGACUUAGGCAAAUCCGGGUCCUUGUUAACGCCGAGGCGUGAUGACGAAGCCCUCAGGGCUGCAAAGUGGUUGAUUCCACGCUUCCAGGAAAAGCCUCGUAUACACUCACACUGGUGACCGUACCGUAAACCGACACAGGUAGACAGGUAGAAAAUACUAAGGCGCUUGAGAGAACUCUGGUUAAGGAACUCGGCAAAAUAGCACCGUAACUUCGGGAGAAGGGGUGCCCACAUGGUGAACAUUUUUACAAUUGUGAGCCUAGUUGGGUUGCAGUGAAAUGGGGGGAGCGACUGUUUACUAAAAACACAGGACUCUGCGAAGUCGUAAGACGAAGUAUAGGGUCUGACGCCUGCCCGGUGCCGGAAGGUUAAGGGGACAUGUCAGCGCAAGCAAAGCAUCGAACCGAAGCCCCGGUAAACGGCGGCCGUAACAAUAACGGUCCUAAGGUAGCGAAAUUCCUUGUCGGGUAAGUUCCGACCUGCCCGAAUGGCGUAACGAUUUCCCUACUGUCUCAACCAGAGACUCAGCGAAACUGUAGUACCGGUGAAGAUGCCGGUUACCCGCAACAAGACAGAAAGACCCCGUGAACCUUUACUAUAGCUUGGCAUUGUGUUUAGGGAUAACAUGUGUAGGAUAGGUGGGAGACUUUGAAGCGUGCACGCUAGUGUGCGUGGAGUCACCCUUGAAAUACCACCCUUGUUAUCUUUGAACUCUAACCGCGGUCCGUGAUCCGGAUCCGGGACAGUGUCUGGUGGGUAGUUUGACUGGGGCGGUCGCCUCCCAAAGAGUAACGGAGGCGCGCGAUGGUUCCCUCAGGCUGAUUGGAAACCAGCCGUAGAGUGUAAAGGCAUAAGGGAGCUUGACUGCGAGAGAGACAUCUCGAGCAGGUACGAAAGUAGGUCUUAGUGAUCCGGCGAUUCCGCAUGGAAGGGUCGUCGCUCAACGGAUAAAAGGUACUCCGGGAUGACAGGCUUAUCUCCCCCAAGAGUCCACAUCGACGGGGAGGUUUGGCACCUCGAUGUCGGCUCAUCACAUCCUGGGGCUGGAGCAGGUCCCAAGGGUUCGGCUGUUCGCCGAUUAAAGUGGUACGUGAGCUGGGUUUAAAACGUCGUGAGACAGUUUGGUCCUUAUCUGUUGCGGGCGCAGGAUAUUUGAGGAGAUCUUUCCCUAGUACGAGAGGACCGGGAUGGACGAACCAAUGGUGUACCAGUUGUUCUGCCAAGGGCAUUGCUGGGUAGCUACGUUCGGCAGGGAUAACCGCUGAAAGCAUCUAAGCGGGAAACCCACUCCAAGAUAAGAUAUCCCGUACCGUUAGGUACCUGAAGGCUCGUUGGAGACUACAACGUUGAUAGGUCGGGUGUGGAAGUGCAGUAAUGCAUGGAGCUAACCGAUACUAAUGAGCCGUGCGGCUUAACCAU
RNAcentral lists this ribosomal RNA (1618 nucleotides) under metagenome. RNAcentral's name for it is "bacterial LSU rRNA". It matches the Rfam family "Bacterial large subunit ribosomal RNA", at positions 1332 to 2925 of the family's 2925-position model. The record is from RNAcentral.